RNAcentral lists this long non-coding RNA (204 nucleotides) under Gallus gallus (chicken). RNAcentral's name for it is "long non-coding RNA NONGGAT007182". The record is from RNAcentral. Lineage: Eukaryota; Metazoa; Chordata; Aves; Galliformes; Phasianidae.
UGGCGGUGCCGAGGACUCGGUGUUCCAGUACAGACUUUCCACUGGUGAGCUGGAGAGACUGAGCAUUUCGAUCUGCGCUGGGAGCAGCUGACAGCGCGCGGGGAUGUGCUGACGGCAUUAUGGGCAGGCGUUACCCAGGGGCUCACUAUCGGCCAAGCAGCUCAUAUUUCAAAUUAUAAUCUAUUUCCUGAUGCAUUGCUGACG